CGAUGUCUAAAGGAGUAAUCCGCUUUGGAAGGGGCUUGCGUCCCAUCAGCUUAGUUGGUAGGGUAAUGGCCNANCAAGGCGACNACGGGUAGNGGNCCUGAGAGGGUGGCCCCCCACAAUGGAACUUGAAACNCGGUCCAUACACCUACGGGUGGCAGCAGUAGGGAAUAUUGCACAAUGGGCGAAAGCCUGAUGCAGCAACGCCGCGUGCGCNAAGAAGGUCUUCGGAUCGUAAAGCGCUUUUCUGCGAGAUNAGAAAGGACAGUAUCGUAGGAAUAAGUCUCGGCUAACUACGUGCCAGCANCCGCGGUAACACGUAGGAGGCAAGCGUUAUCCGGAUUUACUGGGCGUAAAGCGCGUGCAGNCGGUUCGGUAAGUUGGAUGUNAAAGCUCCCGGCUCAACCGGNANAGGCCGUUCAAAACUGCCGGNCUANAGGACNAUAGAGGGGGGUGGAAUUCCCGGUGUAGUGGUNAAAUGCGUAGAUAUCGGGAGGA
RNAcentral lists this ribosomal RNA (495 nucleotides) under uncultured bacterium. Its description in RNAcentral is "partial 16S small subunit ribosomal RNA gene". It matches the Rfam family "Bacterial small subunit ribosomal RNA", at positions 195 to 705 of the family's 1533-position model. The record is from RNAcentral.